This 225-nucleotide ribosomal RNA is filed under the name Lachnospiraceae bacterium. RNAcentral's name for it is "partial 23S ribosomal RNA". It matches the Rfam family "Bacterial large subunit ribosomal RNA", at positions 2702 to 2925 of the family's 2925-position model. The record is from RNAcentral. Lineage: Bacteria; Bacillati; Bacillota; Clostridia; Lachnospirales; Lachnospiraceae.
CCUGCCUCUGGUGCACCGGCUGAGCCGCCAGGCUCACAACCGGGUAGCCAAGCAGGGACGGGAUAAACGCUGAAGGCAUCUAAGCGUGAAGCCCCCUCCAAGAUGAGAUCUCCCAUUCUUUCAAAGAAGUAAGUCCCCUUGAAGACGACGAGGUAGAUAGGGCAGAGGUGGAAGUACAGUAAUGUAUGUAGCUGACUGUUACUAAUCGGACGAGGGCUUGACCAA